Molecule: long non-coding RNA, 1218 nt
Organism: Pan troglodytes (chimpanzee)
Lineage: Eukaryota; Metazoa; Chordata; Mammalia; Primates; Hominidae
Exons: 3
Source: RefSeq, a predicted model, not a curated record
GCCGCGCAGGCAGCAGCCGCGCCACCCGGGGGCUCGUUGGAAACGCAGAAUCUGCACCUUCGCGCUGUCUCCGGGGCUCACGGGGCGCCUGAGUCGGAAGCCCCGCCCUGGGGAGGCCGGUCUCCUAGCGAGGGCCUGGGCCCCUCUGGGCUCUGAGGGCAGCCACCCUCGGCCCGCGUGUCGGGGGCUCCCCAGGGCGCCCCGGGCUCCUGUUCCUGUUUCUUCUUGGCCGUCCUUGAGGUGCGGAGCCCCCGGGCUCUGCUGAGGGCCUCCCGGCCUCCGUGACAUCGGUGACCUCGGUUCAGGCGUCAGUGACCGUCUUGCCUGGUGGCUCAGCGCCGCUGAUCUCGGCCAACCGCGGGUCUUCCUUGUCUUGUGGACCGGAGGGAGCAGCUGGGCGGAGAGACCCUGAGUCGCAGUCGCACGGCGUGGCGUUCCGCGUGACCCUGCAAUUAAAACCCCCGCGCUGCAGCAUCGCGGAAAACGGGAUUCGCAUAAUUUGAAAUUUGAGGAAAAUCUCUAAAUACUUUAAUUUUGAUAGAAACUAUUUCCACUGCUGACAUGUGUCUACACCUAUAAUUUCAGUUGAUAAAUUGCUGUAAUUUCUCCUCCAUUUCAUGUUCUUUCGAACAUUAAUUGUCAGUUGCAGGGAAGGAACUUCUAAACUGAAAGCUGGCAAGACUCAGCAGAAAAAAAAUAUCAAAAGCUGCUUCUGCUGCCCCAGCUUCACUCAGGCCCUGGCUGCUCCUUCACGGGUCUACACUGCUGCCUCCUGGAACCACCCACUCUGCAACCAGCCGUGAGGGGUGAGGCUCGCUCGGAAGCUCCCAGAACCUGGAGGCUGCCCUCACUCAACACUUGAACAAGCAAGGGGCCAGAUUCAAUGAAACACCUGCCCGCCCGGCACACCAGGCUCAAAAGCAAGCAAGCAAGCAAACAAACAAACAAAAUCAAAUCAGGCCUUCACAACUCCCCAAAUCAUGUGUGAGUUUCUACAGAGCAGAAGCCAAAAAUAUAUGUUAUCUAACUAGGUCCUAUUUACAUAUAUUUUUAUGGCUGCUUUAAAAAAUUAUCACAAACAUAGCGGCUUCACCCCGUUUCCCCUGUUGUGAUUAUUACAGAUUGGAUGCCUGUAUCAAAAUAUCUCAUGGACCCCAUAAAUAGCAACACCCUGUAUGUACUCAUGACAAUUUUUUAAAAAAGAACACUUACACUUUC